AUUUAUAUUGCGUUGGAGGUCAAACUGUUUCUUAAACUAUUUGAAAUUAUUUGUCCAGAUUAGCUGUCCAUCCUGAAGAUGGAGAGCUUUGAGGGUGAUUCCCAAGAGCCCUGAAGCCAACUAUAAUGAAUGGGUUUGGUGCUUUACUUGAAGAAAAAAAAAGCUGAAUGAGUUAUGGAGCUGCUAAAUAGCCCCAGUUCAUUCACACAGAGUUGAGGAUGAUGUGCUUAUCUUAAUAUAGUAUUGUUAGAAGAGCUUAUUUCAAGGGCAUUCCUGUCUGACAUCUUCCCUCCCUCAUUACUUCUCAGUCUCUUUAGUUAUAUGUGGAGGUUUAGAAGACACUGGUAUCUGACAGAAACCCUGGGGAGCAUGCAGGAUUCAUCUCCCAUUUCUGCUGAAGCUGGUGACCAAACUUGCAGUGGAUGAAAUGGAAGCAAGCUCAGGUGGUCAUCCUGUGAAAUCCUCUGGUCUAAUACAUCUGGGAAGGCUGUAAACACACAGGAGAAAGUCUGAGGAGUCUGCUAACUGUUCAAGUAAUUAUUUAUCACCGAUGGUGUCUUCAGCACCAAUCCCAGCACAGCCAUUAUGGAGCGUCCAGGAACAAAGGAAUUGCACAGAUUUUCUUUAGAAGAUGAAGAGAUUCUGGGAAAAUUAAUUGCCUGCUUCUGCAUUUGUUCAGUCUUCUCUUAUGGCUGGACUCUGUGAUGGCUGGAGAGAUACUGAAAGGAUGAUGUCAGACGAAUGGGAAAUGAAAGCUGAAGGUGCAGAUGUGCUAGUGCAUAGAAGGGCCAGAACAAACACCAUUUGCAAUUCAAGUGCCUUUAGACCCUAGAUGAGACUGUCUUGUAACUGCUUCCACGGUGUUAUGUAGCUUGGUUAAAGGUA
This 885-nucleotide long non-coding RNA is filed under the name Taeniopygia guttata (zebra finch). RNAcentral's name for it is "lncRNA (ENSTGUG00000026876.1)". Lineage: Eukaryota; Metazoa; Chordata; Aves; Passeriformes; Estrildidae. The record is from RNAcentral.